This 301-nucleotide ribosomal RNA is filed under the name uncultured bacterium. RNAcentral's name for it is "partial 16S ribosomal RNA". It matches the Rfam family "Bacterial small subunit ribosomal RNA", at positions 509 to 807 of the family's 1533-position model. The record is from RNAcentral.
CAGCAGCCACGGUAAUACGGAGGAUCCAGGCGUUAUCCGGAUUUAUUGGGUUUAAAGGGUGCGUAGGUGGCCUGUUAAGUCAGGGGUGAAAGACGGUAGCUUAACUAUCGCAGUGCCCUUGAUACUGAUGGGCUUGAAUGAACUAGAGGUAGGCGGAAUGUGACAAGUAGCGGUGAAAUGCAUAGAUAUGUCACAGAACACCAAUUGCGAAGGCAGCUUACUAUGGUUUUAUUGACACUGAGGCACGAAAGCGUGGGGAUCAAACAGGAUUAGAUACCCCCGUAGUCCCUGUCUCUUAUAC